GAUGAAGAACGCAGCGAAAUGCGAUAAGUAAUGUGAAUUGCAGAAUUCAGUGAAUCAUCGAAUCUUUGAACGCACAUUGCGCCCGUCAGUAUUCUGGCGGGCAUGCCUGUUCGAGCGUCAUUACGCCCCUCAAGUCCCCUGUGGACUUGGUGUUGGGGAUCGGCGAGGCUGGUUUUCCAGCACAGCCGUCCCUUAAAUUAAUUGGCGGUCUCGCCGUGGCCCUCCUCUGCGCAGUAGUAAAACACUCGCAACAGGAGCCCGGCGCGGUCCACUGCCGUAAAACCCCCCAACUUCUGAAAUGUUGACCUCGGAUCAGGUAGGAAUACCCGCUGAACUUAAGCAUAUCAAUAAGCGGAGA
This 358-nucleotide unclassified non-coding RNA is filed under the name soil metagenome. RNAcentral's name for it is "partial contains 5.8S ribosomal RNA, internal transcribed spacer 2, and large subunit ribosomal RNA". The stretch from base 1 to 120 matches the Rfam family "5.8S ribosomal RNA", at positions 35 to 154 of the family's 154-position model. The record is from RNAcentral.